UACGAAGGGGGCUAGCGUUGUUCGGAAUUACUGGGCGUAAAGCGUGCGUAGACGGUAGCGUAAGUCGGGUGUGAAAGCCCCGGGCUCAACCUGGGAAUUGCAUUCGAGACUGCUCUGCUAGGGUGCGGAAGAGGGAAGCGGAAUUUCCGGUGUAGCGGUGAAAUGCGUAGAUAUCGGAAGGAACACCAGUGGCGAAAGCGGCUUCCUGGUCCAGCACCGACGUUCAGGCACGAAAGCGUGGGGAGCAAACAGG
RNAcentral lists this ribosomal RNA (253 nucleotides) under uncultured bacterium. RNAcentral's name for it is "partial 16S ribosomal RNA". It matches the Rfam family "Bacterial small subunit ribosomal RNA", at positions 524 to 776 of the family's 1533-position model. The record is from RNAcentral.